AGCGUAGGCGGUUUGUUAAGUCGGGUGUGAAAUCUCUUGACUCAAUCAAGAGAGGCCAUCCGAUACUGGCAGACUUGAGGGCGGCAGAAGGAAACGGAAUUCCGAGUGUAGCGGUGAAAUGCGUUGAUAUUCGGAGGAACGCCAGUGGCGAAAGCGGUUUCCUAGGCUGUUCCUGACGCUGAGGCUCGAAAGCGUGGGGAGCGAAGC
Molecule: ribosomal RNA, 207 nt
Filed under: uncultured bacterium
Lineage: Bacteria
Description: partial 16S ribosomal RNA
Rfam family: Bacterial small subunit ribosomal RNA
Source: RNAcentral